GUCCUUGCCUUAAACUAUGUAUACUUGACGUAAUUGGGCUCAACCCUAAUUGUGUCGUAGCUAACGCGAUAAGUAUACCGCCUGGGGGAGUACGCUCGCAAGGGUGAAACUCAAAAGAAUUGACGGGGACCCGCACAAGCAGUGGAGCAUGUGGUUUAAUUCGAUGCAACGCGAAGAACCUUACCUGGGUUUGAACUGUAGUGGACGUUGCUAGAGAUAGCAACUCCCCGCAAGGGGCUGCUAUAGAGGUGCUGCAUGGCUGUCGU
RNAcentral lists this ribosomal RNA (266 nucleotides) under uncultured bacterium. Its description in RNAcentral is "partial 16S ribosomal RNA". It matches the Rfam family "Bacterial small subunit ribosomal RNA", at positions 793 to 1055 of the family's 1533-position model. The record is from RNAcentral.